Molecule: non-coding RNA, 152 nt
Filed under: Roseovarius azorensis
Lineage: Bacteria; Pseudomonadati; Pseudomonadota; Alphaproteobacteria; Rhodobacterales; Roseobacteraceae
Description: Ruegeria cis2 sRNA
Rfam family: Ruegeria cis2 sRNA
About the family: Cis-encoded.
Source: Rfam by way of RNAcentral
GCGGUUUUCUGCGGAAAGUAAUUGAUGAAGACAAACCCCCUCGUCUGGUCGAUGAUAUGAAAGAGCGGGUUCCAGUCGAACAUGUUGACCAUGAACGGCGGCAGGGUGUUCACCACGAACAUCUUGCCCGAUGCAAUCAUGUUCGCGCGCUG